Molecule: transfer-messenger RNA, 380 nt
Filed under: Anaerolineales
Lineage: Bacteria; Bacillati; Chloroflexota; Anaerolineae
Also listed under: 1 other name
Description: OLB14 sp016789305 Standard tmRNA
Rfam family: transfer-messenger RNA
About the family: Bacterial tmRNA, also known as 10Sa RNA or SsrA, is named for its dual tRNA and mRNA-like properties. Its role is to liberate the mRNA from a stalled ribosome.
Source: RNAcentral
GGGGAUGACAGGCUUCGACGGGAGAGGCUGGUUCCGGAAUGCGAGCCGAGCGCGCACCGAACUCGUAAAAUCAGUGCAAAACUUUAAGUGCCAACCGCACUUCAUACGCUGCUAUGCCCCUCGCUGCAUAAGCGAACAUAACAGCAUGACAUCUUAGGAUGUCACGUCCGCCGGCCCUGUACUCCAUCCAGUGACGGACCGGGCGAAACAAGAAUGGAGCGCUGCGUAUGACUCCACUAAAUACGCCUAAGACAAGUGGAUGGUCACAGAGUUACCUGCCCGCCGAGAUCUCUGUGAUGACUAACUUCGGCAGGCUACGCUCGUAGAUUUCCGAGGGUCGAAUCUUUCGGACGCGGGUUCAAUUCCCGCCAUCUCCACAC